AACCUUAUGGACCUGCGGGCGUAUACCUGCGGAAGGAUCAUUACCUGCAGCGCCGACGCACCCCCGCGCCGGCGUCUCGCCCCCCUCCCUUACCUAUACCUACCGUACGUGAAUCCCUCGGCGGGGACGCCCGCCGCCGGGACCCUCCAACCAAACCCUUGCAAUGAACCCUACCCUUCUGAACCUUACCACCUAUUACAACUUUCAACAACGGAUCU
This 218-nucleotide unclassified non-coding RNA is filed under the name soil metagenome. Its description in RNAcentral is "partial contains 5.8S ribosomal RNA, internal transcribed spacer 2, and large subunit ribosomal RNA". The record is from RNAcentral.